This 22-nucleotide non-coding RNA is filed under the name Arabidopsis thaliana (thale cress). The record is from RNAcentral. Lineage: Eukaryota; Viridiplantae; Streptophyta; Magnoliopsida; Brassicales; Brassicaceae.
ACAAGGCGAUCAAAUGGAUAUG